GCGAUGCUCGAUCGGCGUAGCAACCGGCAGCAUUCCGCCAAAACUGCGGGGUAACGAAUAGAAACGCGAUAGAGGCUCUGGGAGUCAUUGGGGUGAGCGGCCCGAGGACUGCAAAACCCGUUUCCGACAACCUCCUGAGUAGAUCGCGUACUCGCGCAGCGAAAGUUCACGUC
Molecule: non-coding RNA, 173 nt
Filed under: Stieleria varia
Lineage: Bacteria; Pseudomonadati; Planctomycetota; Planctomycetia; Pirellulales; Pirellulaceae
Source: RNAcentral